ACAACUGUGUCAGAUAAAAUGAGUUAUGUUGAUGUCAUAAAACAUACCCCCAUGGGUCAGUUGUA
Molecule: transfer RNA, 65 nt
Filed under: Proales similis
Lineage: Eukaryota; Metazoa; Rotifera; Eurotatoria; Ploima; Proalidae
Description: tRNA-Ile
Source: RNAcentral